UUCCCUAGUACGGCGAGUGAAGCGGGAAGAGCUCAAAUUUGAAAUCUGGUGGCCUCAGGUCAUCCGAGUUGUAAUCUAUAGAAGUGUUUUCCGUGCUGGCUCAUGUACAAGUCCCUUGGAACAGGGCGUCAUAGAGGGUGAGAAUCCCGUCCUUGACAUGAACUACCAGUGCUCUGUGAUACAUUUUCAACGAGUCGAGUUGUUUGGGAAUGCAGCUCAAAAUGGGUGGUAAAUUCCAUCUAAAGCUAAAUAUUGGCGAGAGACCGAUAGCGAACAAGUACCGUGAGGGAAAGAUGAAAAGCACUUUGGAAAGAGAGUUAAACAGUAUGUGAAAUUGUUGAAAGGGAAACGAUUGAAGUCAGUCGUGCUCUUUGGAUUCAGCCGGUUCUGCCGGUGUACUUCCUUUGAGUGGGGUCAACAUCAGUUUUGAUCGCUGGAUAAAGGCUGGAGGAACGUAGUACCCUCGGGUAAACUUAUAGCCUCCUGUCACAUACAGUGGUUGGGACUGAGGAACGCAGCACGCCUUUAUGGCCGGGAUUCGUCCACGUACGUGCUUAGGAUGUUGACAUAAUGGCUUUAAACGACCCGUCUUGAACCACGGGACCAU
This 607-nucleotide ribosomal RNA is filed under the name Filobasidium magnum. RNAcentral describes it as "eukaryotic LSU rRNA". It matches the Rfam family "Eukaryotic large subunit ribosomal RNA", at positions 76 to 664 of the family's 3401-position model. Lineage: Eukaryota; Fungi; Basidiomycota; Tremellomycetes; Filobasidiales; Filobasidiaceae. The record is from RNAcentral.